Molecule: ribosomal RNA, 476 nt
Filed under: Megaselia hendersoni
Lineage: Eukaryota; Metazoa; Arthropoda; Insecta; Diptera; Phoridae
Also listed under: 1 other name
Description: eukaryotic LSU rRNA
Rfam family: Eukaryotic large subunit ribosomal RNA
Source: RNAcentral
CAGCACUAAGUGGGUGGUAAACUCCAUCUAAAACUAAAUAUAACCAUGAGACCGAUAGCAAACAAGUACCGUGAGGGAAAGUUGAAAAGAACUCUGAAUAGAGAGUUAAAUAGUACGUGAAACUGCUUAGAGGUUAAGCCCGAUGAACCUGAAUAUCCGUUGUAGAAAAUUCAUCAUCAAUUGUAUGAUAUUUUUUUAAUAUUGUAUCAAUGGUGUGCACUUUUUCUACUUAAGGACAUUGUAAUCCGUUAAUGUUUAAAUGCGUAUUAUAAGAACAUUUACAAUAGUUUUUACAUUAUUUAACUUGUUAAAUAUGUUUAAAUGUGGAUGCUUCGAAUAUGCCAUUGACGGAUUUUUCCGUAUAUUGCACUUAAAUCUUUUGAUUUUAUAAUAAUAUGAUUAUCAUUGAUUUUUGUAUUUAUUAUAUGUGCAUAUAUGAUUGACAAUGCGAAAGAUUCAGGAUACCUUCGGGACCC